RNAcentral lists this long non-coding RNA (1077 nucleotides) under Apteryx owenii (little spotted kiwi). Its description in RNAcentral is "lncRNA (ENSAOWG00000017738.1)". Lineage: Eukaryota; Metazoa; Chordata; Aves; Apterygiformes; Apterygidae. The record is from RNAcentral.
GUCUAGAAUUAAUUGCUUAGCAUAACUUGCUUAGCAUUAGUAGCUAAAUUUGCUGAAGCCUUAGGCCUCAGGCUGUGAACUUUUACUUAGAUAAGUAAAAGGGGGCCCCAGGGCCUGUUCAAGCUGAAGAGAUAAAGUUGCACGGACGGCAGGAGUAGCCAACCUUGAAGAUAAGAAGUAGCCUGCCUAGAGACAAUGAAGGGGCCCAGUGAAGAAGGGGAAGAACCCAGACCUAACUAUUACUAUUGGUCCAAACUAUCGCUUAAGGGGUGGGGAAUUUAGAUUGUAAGGGUAUAAUUGCCCAGGGAUUUCUUUGUUCGGGGUCCCUCUUUGGAGGCACCCAGCUCGAGCUGUAAUUACUGCACGUGUAUCAUUAAAUUUUAUUUCUCUCCAAUCUGACUUCGAACUUCUGCCUCAGCAGGAACCUAGGGUUGGACCCUGUUAUGGAGGCCGGCGAGCCUGAUUUUCCAUAACAUAAUGAUCUCUCUGUGAUUUAGAGGCUUCUGCUGUAUUAUAUCAAAGAAGAGGAGACCCUAUAUGCUGGAAUUGGGAUAGAAGCCAGCAGGGAAGUUUAAACCUUGGAAAAAUUUCAGAGUUGCCACUUUUUCCUACGUGUAAUGACAGAGGACAUAUUACUGCAUAUUUGCACAACUUAUUCACUAGCUGAAUACCAUCUUGUGAAAACUGUGCCUUCACUUUUGGAGAGCUUGACUCAAGGUGGGCGGGAAAAGAAAGGUGGAUAAACACAAUAGCUGUGCGGAGGAUGGCCUGAAAAUUGCUUCUGACUAAAUUGCAGUCACUGUUCCUGUUAAAAUGUGGCCAUUCGAAAAAAGCUAACUCAAACCCCAAUUUCAAAGAAUUAUAUUGAGGGAAUAUUUAUAGUUUGCCACAGAUGUCUGUAGCAUCUUGGGAAAUUUAGUAAAAAAUACACAAAAAUAAUAGGAGUACAAAUAUAUCACCUUGCAAAAGUUGGCUAUACUCUGUUAACACAUAAUGCCCUAGUAUAAAAUGUAUAGUUACCCACUGUUUUGACUAAUUGAAAAUAAAAGGGAAAAAAACCUUUGAGAGGGUUUUCUU